This 2167-nucleotide ribosomal RNA is filed under the name Mammaliicoccus lentus. Its description in RNAcentral is "partial 23S ribosomal RNA". It matches the Rfam family "Bacterial large subunit ribosomal RNA", at positions 1 to 2161 of the family's 2925-position model. The record is from RNAcentral. Lineage: Bacteria; Bacillati; Bacillota; Bacilli; Caryophanales; Staphylococcaceae.
AUGAUUAAGUUAUUAAGGGCGCACGGUGGAUGCCUUGGCACUAGAAGCCGAAGAAGGACGUUACUAACGACGAUAUGCUUUGGGGAGCUGUAAGUACGCUUUGAUCCAGAGAUUUCCGAAUGGGGAAACCCAGCAUGAGUUAUGUCAUGUUAUCCACAUAUGAAUACAUAGUAUGUGAGAAGGCACACCCGGAGAACUGAAACAUCUUAGUACCCGGAGGAAGAGAAAGAAAACUCGAUUCCCUGAGUAGCGGCGAGCGAAACGGGAAUAGCCCAAACCAAUAGGCUUGCCUAUUGGGGUUGUAGGACACUCAAUACGGAGUUACAAAGGAAAUAAUUAGACGAAUGGUUUUGGAAAAGCCAACCAUAGAAGGUAAAGGUCCUGUAGUCGAAAGUUAUUUCUCUCCUGAGUGGAUCCUGAGUACGGCGGAACACGUGUAAUUCCGUCGGAAUCUGGGAGGACCAUCUCCCAAGGCUAAAUACUCUCUAGUGACCGAUAGUGAACCAGUACCGUGAGGGAAAGGUGAAAAGCACCCCGGAAGGGGAGUGAAAUAGAACCUGAAACCGUGUGCUUACAAAUAGUCAGAGCCCGUUAAUGGGUGAUGGCGUGCCUUUUGUAGAAUGAACCGGCGAGUUACGAUUUGAUGCAAGGUUAAGCAGUAAAUGUGGAGCCGUAGCGAAAGCGAGUCUGAAUAGGGCGAAUGAGUAUCUGGUCGUAGACCCGAAACCAAGUGAUCUACCCAUGUCCAGGUUGAAGUUCAGGUAACACUGAAUGGAGGACCGAACCGACUUACGUUGAAAAGUGAGCGGAUGAGGUGUGGGUAGCGGAGAAAUUCCAAUCGAACUUGGAGAUAGCUGGUUCUCUCCGAAAUAGCUUUAGGGCUAGCCUCAAGUGAUGAUUAUUGGAGGUAGAGCACUGUUUGGACGAGGGGCCCCUCUAGGGUUACCGAAUUCAGACAAACUCCGAAUGCCAAAUAAUUUAACUUGGGAGUCAGACUAUGGGUGAUAAGGUCCAUAGUCGAAAGGGAAACAGCCCAGACCACCAGCUAAGGUCCCAAAAUAUAUGUUAAGUGGAAAAGGAUGUGGCGUUGCCCAGACAACUAGGAUGUUGGCUUAGAAGCAGCCAUCAUUUAAAGAGUGCGUAAUAGCUCACUAGUCGAGUGACACUGCGCCGAAAAUGUACCGGGGCUAAACAUAUUACCGAAGCUGUGGAUUAUCCGUAAGGAUAAUGGUAGGAGAGCGUUCUAAACGUGUUGAAGCAUGAUCGCAAGGACAUGUGGAAUGUUUAGAAGUGAGAAUGCCGGUGUGAGUAGCGAAAGAUGGGUGAGAAUCCCAUCCACCGAUUGACUAAGGUUUCCAGAGGAAGGCUCGUCCGCUCUGGGUUAGUCGGGACCUAAGCCGAGGCCGAUAGGCGUAGGCGAUGGAUAACAGGUAGAUAUUCCUGUACCACCUAUGAUUGUUUGAACGAUGGGGGGACGCAGUAGGAUAGGCGAAGCGUGCUGUUGGAGUGCACGUCCAAGCAACAAGACUGAGUGUUAGGCAAAUCCGGCACUCGUAAGGUUGAGUUGUGAUGGGGAGUUGGAUCAUGAAUCCGACGAGUCGUUGAUUUCACACUGCCAAGAAAAGCCUCUAGUUAGAAAAUAGGUGCCCGUACCGCAAACCGACACAGGUAGUCAAGAUGAGAAUUCUAAGGUGAGCGAGCGAACUCUCGUUAAGGAACUCGGCAAAAUGACCCCGUAACUUCGGGAGAAGGGGUGCUUUUUAAGGUGCAAGCCUUGAAGAGCCGCAGUGAAUAGGCCCAAGCGACUGUUUAUCAAAAACACAGGUCUCUGCUAAACCGUAAGGUGAUGUAUAGGGGCUGACGCCUGCCCGGUGCUGGAAGGUUAAGAGGAGUGGUUAGCUUCUGCGAAGCUACGAAUCGAAGCCCCAGUAAACGGCGGCCGUAACUAUAACGGUCCUAAGGUAGCGAAAUUCCUUGUCGGGUAAGUUCCGACCCGCACGAAAGGCGUAACGAUUUGGGCACUGUCUCAACGAGAGACUCGGUGAAAUCAUAGUACCUGUGAAGAUGCAGGUUACCCGCGACAGGACGGAAAGACCCCGUGGAGCUUUACUGUAGCCUGAUAUUGAAAUUCGGCACAGCUUGUACAGGAUAGGUAGGAGCCUUAGAA